AAGUUUAAGGAAGCCUUUUAAGAGGUGGAAGUGGGCAGAAGACAUGCUGACUCCUCAGAGCUCAUAAAGAGAGCAGCAAGCGGAGAGCUGGCAGGGAAGAGAGCAGAGGUGGAAGCCAAGAGGUGACAGAGGUCUGGUUGGUGUGGCCCAUCUUGGUGGGUGAUGACAGAUGCCACUUCAGCCUGGUGUUUGAGCUGGGGAGGGCCACGUGGAUUCCACUGCCUGUGCACGGACAUAUCCAGUGUCUGCCAGUUACCUGGGGAAGGCUGUGAUGCCAUGAACAGUCCACAGGCGGCCGACUCCAGGGCAG
Molecule: long non-coding RNA, 310 nt
Filed under: Heterocephalus glaber (naked mole-rat)
Lineage: Eukaryota; Metazoa; Chordata; Mammalia; Rodentia; Bathyergidae
Description: lncRNA (ENSHGLG00100049088.1)
Source: RNAcentral